RNAcentral lists this unclassified non-coding RNA (1360 nucleotides) under Hevea brasiliensis (rubber tree). Lineage: Eukaryota; Viridiplantae; Streptophyta; Magnoliopsida; Malpighiales; Euphorbiaceae. The record is from RNAcentral.
UGCUUUUUUACUUAUCAACUAUUUCAAAGUAUGAAUUUUUAUAUUAUAAGUACACAUAUAUAUAUAAUUUAGCCAAUUAAGGUUAUAGCGCCUUACUUCAAAAAGGCCUUGCCUAAGGCCAUAGGGUAUUCUAUUGCCUUAGCCGCCUUUCGCCUUGAUAACACUGACUAAAAUACAAUAAGAACAUAUAUACUAAAUAGGAAAACUAAAUCCUAAAUAAAGUAGGAAAACAUUAAUAAGUCAUAAAUAGAGUAGGAGACUUCCUAAUUAAUUUUAAUAUAAUCUCUACAGCUGUUGGAAGUCUUCACAAGAUGUCCCAGAUAAAUUAGGACUGUUAGAAAUUAAAAUUAAUUAAAAAAAGAAGUUCUGCCUUGUUGUCCAGGCCUUGCAUCAUCAACUGGUUAGUGAGGCCAAUUUCAUUGAUUGUGUAUAUUUGAAUGUACCUAAAGCUGAUGCCUGAAUUUCAUUGUUUAUCUCUUGAAAGCAUUUCUUGCUUGCUUGUGCAUUUCAGGUCAUGAUACAGGCUUUAAGAGAAUCUGGUGUAUUCAGCUCUAUUAUUGCAUCUGCUCCAACAACUAUUUCAAAAGACAAGUUUUUAGCAUCAAUUGAUAAAAGCAACUCAUCCAGAGCUGUUGCCUCUGAAUCGCUACCAUCAAGAAAGAUGGGAAGAAACAGAGCGCAUCAGGCAGCAGCUAGAAAGGUUUUGGAUUUAGAAGCUAUUGAAUCUCAUGAAGCAGCUGUUCCUCCAUUGUCUCCUCCAGGAGCGAAUGACGACUUCCUUGUGGAAGCGUGAUCCAGAUUUUGGCAUGAUUGCUUCUUCUUCUCAUUCCUGUUCAUAUCGGUGUGAUCAUUUUCGUCUAAUUUGCUUUGAAGGGAAGAAUCAGGAGAGAAAAGAAAGAGCAAGCAGGCCUCUUGUUGCAGUAUGUGUUCAGUUCUGUUGGUUCUUCCCGAUCAUGAUCCAAGCGCUUGUGUACAGUCUUUAGGAGAGAUUUAUAGCCUGGUAACUUUAUGUCACGACUCAACCAGAAUACUCAACUUAUUAUUUUCAUGUAUAUAAACCACAGUGUUGACAGCCAAGGGUUGUAACGAUCAUUAGUUCAUUAUGUGGAAAUUCAAGAGAACAUCUGAUGGGAGUCUCUUGAGAGGAUAUUGUGUCAUCAACUUUUUGUAUUUGAGAGGAGGAUGUCUAUUUGAACCAACGUUAUUUUGUUUCUUUAAAGGUGCCAUAUGUGGUGCUCUGAUGAAGGAAGGCCCAAGCCAUUGAAGGCUUGGCUAGAACUUCAUACUGGCAUAACAAAAAUGAUGAGUUUCAAAUUAUAAAAUCACACAGAUAAGUGAUUCUGAUAAUAUUAUGAAUGAA